This 300-nucleotide ribosomal RNA is filed under the name uncultured Oceanisphaera sp. RNAcentral describes it as "bacterial SSU rRNA". It matches the Rfam family "Bacterial small subunit ribosomal RNA", at positions 496 to 795 of the family's 1533-position model. Lineage: Bacteria; Pseudomonadati; Pseudomonadota; Gammaproteobacteria; Aeromonadales; Aeromonadaceae. The record is from RNAcentral.
GGUAGGUGCGUGCCAGCGUCGGGGGGAAGAGGAAGUGGGGCAGCGUUGUUCUGGUUUACUGGGCGUACAGGGGGCGUAUGCGGUUGGAUAAGCCCUCCGUGAAAUCUCCAGGCUUAACCUGGAAAGUGCAGAGGGGACUGUGCAGCUAGAGGAUGGGAGAGGAGCGCGGAAUUCCCGGUGUAGCGGUGAAAUGCGUAGAGAUCGGGAGGAAGGCCGGUGGCGAAGGCGGCGCUCUGGAACAUUUCUGACGCUGAGGCUCGAAAGCGUGGGGAGCAAACAGGAUUAGAUACCCUGGUAGUC